AACGAACGCUGGCGGCAUGCCUAACACAUGCAAGUCGAACGAGACCUUCGGGUCUAGUGGCGCACGGGUGCGUAACGCGUGGGAACCUGCCCUUAGGGUCGGAAUAACUCCCCGAAAGGGGUGCUAAUACCGGAUAAUGUCUUCGGACCAAAGAUUUAUCGCCUUUGGAUGGGCACGCGUUGGAUUAGCUAGUUGGUAGGGUAAAAGCCUACCAAGGCGACGAUCCAUAGCUGGUCUGAGAGGAUGAUCAGCCACACUGGGACUGAGACACGGCCCAGACUCCUACGGGAGGCAGCAGUGGGGAAUAUUGCACCGUGGGCGAAAGCCUGAUCCAGCAAUGCCGCGUGAGUGAUGAAGUCCUUAGGGUUGUAAAGCUCUUUUACCCGGGAUGAUAAUGACAGUACCGGGAGAGUAAGCUCCGGCUAACUCCGUG
Molecule: ribosomal RNA, 433 nt
Filed under: uncultured bacterium
Lineage: Bacteria
Description: partial 16S ribosomal RNA
Rfam family: Bacterial small subunit ribosomal RNA
Source: RNAcentral